This 1263-nucleotide ribosomal RNA is filed under the name Triticum aestivum (bread wheat). RNAcentral describes it as "partial small subunit ribosomal RNA". The record is from RNAcentral. Lineage: Eukaryota; Viridiplantae; Streptophyta; Magnoliopsida; Poales; Poaceae.
AUGGCCUUCGCUGACGCAGGAGCACGGAGGCUCCUGCGCGGCGCAGGCGGCGGUGUUGCUCGAGGAAUCGCCGCCGACGCCGUCGGCAUGAGCUUCGGCCUCGACGGCUUGUGGCAGCUCAUCGCCGGCCUGUUCGCGAGCGUGGCUCACCUGCUCGUCCUGCCGUUCGAGGUGCUCGGGCACUGGCUGCAGGCGGCCGUCGCCGCCGUGGCCCACCUGGUCGUCCUGCCGUUCGAGGCGCUAUGGCACUUGCUGCAGUCCGCCGCCGCCGGCGUGAGCUUCUGCUUCGACAGCCUCGUCGCCGCGCUUGGGAGCGCGGCCCACGCUCUGGUGGUGCCGUUCGAGGCGCUCUGGCACCUGCUGCAGUCCGCCGUCGCUGGCGUGAGCUUCUGCUUCGACAACCUCGUCGCCGCGCUCGGGAGCGCGGCCCACGCUCUGGCGGUGCCGUUCGAAACGCUCUGGCAGUGGAUCCAGGCCGCACCCGCGAGCAUCAGUUUCGGCUUCCACGGUCUGGGGCAGCUCAUACACGGCUGCUUCGACAGCCUCGUCGCGGCGCUCGGGAGCGCGGCCCACGCACUGGCGGUGCCGUUUGAAGCGGUCUGGCAGUGGCUGCAGGCCGCCGCCGCGGGCGUCAGUUCCGGCUUCGACGUCUUCUGGGAGCACAUGCAGGGCAUCUUCGCCGGCGUUCCCGCCGCGCUGGCCAGCGCUGCCCACAGCCUCGUCCUCCCAUUAGAGUCUUUCUGGCGGUGGGUGCACAACUCCAUCGCCGGCAUCAGCCUCGAUCUGGACGGCUUCUGGCCGCUCGUCCAGCGCUUCGUCGACACGGCCGCGAGCAAGGCCCACGAGCUCGUCCCGGCCUUGGAGGCGUUCUGGCGGUGGCUCAAGGACGCCGCCGUCGUCGCGCUCCCUUACGUGCUGGCCAUCGCCGCGGUCGUUUGCGUUGCGGCCGUGGCCUGGUACUGCUGGCAGAUCCUGUGCACCGCCGCCGUGCAGGUGGCGAAGGCGCUCGUCCAGGUCCUCUCCUCCUGCUGGGGCUGGUUGUAUGGCGUUGCCAUGCUGGUCGGGCCGUGCUGCGGCCACGUUACCAUGGCCGCCCCGGGCGUUGCCGGCGGGCUGAUGUCACGUGUUGCGUUCGAGACGGCCCCGCGCCUGUUCUUCCAGAUCUCCCGCUCCGCUGGCGGCCCCGUGGCCACUGCUGUCUUCUCCACGCCCACCAUCGCCUCGGCGGUCGCUGCGCCGGUCGCCGCCCUUUUCGGCGGCUGA